AGUUUUGAUGCAAGUGACUUUUGUAAUUUAACAGAAUUCUACAAGAUUUUCUGUUUUAAAUAGUACUUUGAGUUUCAAGUGACAGACAUAAAGAUUGCAUAUUUGAGAAUUUAGAUGAGAAACCAGAGACAUUAGAAAACAAAUUGAUACUAAAGUUGCACAAACUGCUUUUAUAUUCAGUAGAAUAUAUAACCUGGUUUGUAUUUGUUUUCACAUUUUUUUUAACUGUUACUGCAGCUGGAUAUUGCGUGAUCACCUAUAUACUUGGAGUUGGAGACAGGCACCUGGAUAACCUUUUGCUAACAAAAACAGGUAUUCUAAUCUGAUUUUGAACUUGUUUUCCUUGAUGGUUGAUGCAAACAUUCCAGAUAUUGCACUUGAACCAGAUAAAACUGUGAAAAAGGUUCAGGAUAAAUUCCGUUUAGACCUGUCAGAUGAAGAGGCUGUGCAUUACAUGCAGAGUCUGAUUGAUGAGAGUGUCCAUGCUCUUUUUGCUGCAGUGGUGGAACAGAUUCACAAGUUUGCCCAGUACUGGAGAAAAUGAAACUGGAAUUGACCCAUCAAGAUGCUUGGCUCAAUAAGAAAACCACG
This 591-nucleotide small RNA is filed under the name Pongo abelii (Sumatran orangutan). Its description in RNAcentral is "retained intron". The record is from RNAcentral. Lineage: Eukaryota; Metazoa; Chordata; Mammalia; Primates; Hominidae.